GAUGAACGCUGGCGGCGUGCCUAAUACAUGCAAGUCGAGCGAACAGACGAGGAGCUUGCUUCUCUGACGUUAGCGGCGGACGGGUGAGUAACACGUGGAUAACCUACCUAUAAGACUGGGAUAACUUCGGGAAACCGGAGCUAAUACCGGAUAAUAUUUUGAACCGCAUGGUUCAAUAGUGAAAGACGGUCUUGCUGUCACUUAUAGAUGGAUCCGCGCUGCAUUAGCUAGUUGGUAAGGUAACGGCUUACCAAGGCAACGAUGCGUAGCCGACCUGAGAGGGUGGUCGGCCACACUGGAAGUGGGACACGGUCCAGACUCCUACGGGAGGCAGCAGUAGGGAAUCUUCCGCAAUGGGCGAAAGCCUGACGGAGCAACGCCGCGUGAGUGAUGAAGGUCUUCGGAUCGUAAAACUCUGUUAUUAGGGAAGAACAAAUGUGUAAGUAACUGUGCACGUCUUGACGGUACCUAAUCAGAAAGCCACGGCUAACUACGUG
This 497-nucleotide ribosomal RNA is filed under the name uncultured bacterium. Its description in RNAcentral is "partial 16S ribosomal RNA". It matches the Rfam family "Bacterial small subunit ribosomal RNA", at positions 28 to 507 of the family's 1533-position model. The record is from RNAcentral.